Molecule: ribosomal RNA, 466 nt
Filed under: uncultured Pseudomonadota bacterium
Lineage: Bacteria; Pseudomonadati; Pseudomonadota
Description: bacterial SSU rRNA
Rfam family: Bacterial small subunit ribosomal RNA
Source: RNAcentral
AGAGUUUGAUCAUGGCUCAGAACGAACGCUGGCGGCAGGCUUAACACAUGCAAGUCGAGCGCCCCGCAAGGGGAGCGGCAGACGGGUGAGUAACGCGUGGGAACCUACCUGAAGGUACGGAACAACUCCGGGAAACUGGAACUAAUACCGUAUGUGCCCGCAAGGGGAAAGAUUUAUCGCCUUCAGAUGGGCCCGCGUCAGAUUAGCUAGUUGGUGAGGUAACGGCUCACCAAGGCGACGAUCUGUAGCUGGUCUGAGAGGAUGACCAGCCACACUGGGACUGAGACACGGCCCAGACUCCUACGGGAGGCAGCAGUGGGGAAUAUUGGACAAUGGGCGCAAGCCUGAUCCAGCCAUGCCGCGUGAGUGAUGACGGCCUUAGGGUUGUAAAGCUCUUUCGACGGGGACGAUAAUGACGGUACCCGUAGAAGAAGCCCCGGCUAACUUCGUGCCAGCAGCCGCGGUA